GACGAACGCUGGCGGCGUGCUUAACACAUGCAAGUCGAACGGAAAGGCCCUGCUUUUGUGGGGUGCUCGAGUGGCGAACGGGUGAGUAACACGUGAGUAACCUGCCCUUGACUUUGGGAUAACUUCAGGCAACUGGGGCUCAUACCGGAUAGGAGCUCCUGCUGCAUGGUGGGGGUUGGAAAGUUUCGGCGGUUGGGGAUGGACUCGCGGCUUAUCAGAUUGUUGGUGGGGUAGUGGCUUACCAAGGCUUUGACGGGUAGCCGGCCUGAGAGGGUGACCGGCCACAUUGGGACUGAGAUACGACCCAGACUACUACGGGAGGCAGCAGUGGGGAAUAUUGCACAAUGGGCGGAAGCCUGAUGCAGCAACGCAGCGUGCGGGAUGACGGCCAUCGGGUUGUAAACCGCUUUCGCCUGUGACGAAGCGUGAGUGACGGUAAUGGGUAAAGAAGCACCGGCUAACUACGUG
Molecule: ribosomal RNA, 468 nt
Filed under: uncultured bacterium
Lineage: Bacteria
Description: partial 16S ribosomal RNA
Rfam family: Bacterial small subunit ribosomal RNA
Source: RNAcentral